This 253-nucleotide ribosomal RNA is filed under the name uncultured bacterium. Its description in RNAcentral is "partial 16S ribosomal RNA". It matches the Rfam family "Bacterial small subunit ribosomal RNA", at positions 524 to 776 of the family's 1533-position model. The record is from RNAcentral.
UACGUAGGGUGCAAGCGUUAAUCGGGAUUACUGGGCGUAAAGCGUGCGCAGGCGGUUUUGUAAGUCUGACGUGAAAUCCCCGGGCUCAACCUGGGAAUUGCGUUGGAGACUGCAAGGCUAGAAUCUGGCAGAGGGGGGUAGAAUUCCACGUGUAGCAGUGAAAUGCGUAGAGAUGUGGAGGAACACCGAUGGCGAAGGCAGCCCCCUGGGUCAAGAUUGACGCUCAUGCACGAAAGCGUGGGGAGCAAACAGG